GAUUAACGCUAGCGGCAGGCCUAAUACAUGCAAGUCGAGGGGCAGCAGGGUGUAGCAAUACAUCGCUGGCGACCGGCGCACGGGUGCGUAACACGUAUGCAACCUACCUUUAACUGGGGAAUAGCCCUCCGAAAGGAGGAUUAACACCGCAUAACAUCACGAGACGGCAUCGCCUUGUGAUCAAACCUCCGGGGGUUAAAGAUGGGCAUGCGUCCGAUUAGCUAGUUGGCGGGGUAACGGCCCACCAAGGCGACGAUCGGUAGGGGGUCUGAGAGGAUGAUCCCCCACACUGGUACUGAGACACGGACCAGACUCCUACGGGAGGCAGCAGUAAGGAAUAUUGGACAAUGGUCGCAAGACUGAUCCAGCCAUGCCGCGUGCAGGAUGAACGAUCUAUGAUCUGUAAACUGCUUUUGUUCGGGAAUAAACCCCUUCACGUGUGGAGGGCUGAAUGUACCGAAAGAAUAAGGGUCGGCUAACUUCGUGCCAGCAGCC
RNAcentral lists this ribosomal RNA (495 nucleotides) under uncultured bacterium. RNAcentral's name for it is "bacterial SSU rRNA". It matches the Rfam family "Bacterial small subunit ribosomal RNA", at positions 28 to 516 of the family's 1533-position model. The record is from RNAcentral.